GACGAACGCUGGCGGCGCGCCUAACACAUGCAAGUCGAACGGAGCUGAGAGGAGCUUGCUUUUCUUAGUUUAGUGGCGAACGGGUGAGUAACGCGUGAGUAACCUGCCCUGGAGUGGGGGACAACAGUUGGAAACGACUGCUAAUACCGCAUAAGCCCACGGCCCGGCAUCGGGCUGAGGGAAAAGGAUUUAUUCGCUUCAGGAUGGACCCGCGUCCAAUUAGCUAGUUGGUGAGGUAACGGCCCACCAAGGCGACGAUUGGUAGCCGGACUGAGAGGUUGAACGGCCACAUUGGGACUGAGACACGGCCCAGACUCCUACGGGAGGCAGCAGUGGGGGAUAUUGCACAAUGGGGGAAACCCUGAUGCAGCGACGCCGCGUGGAGGAAGAAGGUUUUCGGAUUGUAAACUCCUGUCGUUAGGGACGAUAAUGACGGUACCUAACAAGAAAGCACCGGCUAACUACGUGCCAGCAGCCGCCGUAA
Molecule: ribosomal RNA, 484 nt
Filed under: uncultured bacterium
Lineage: Bacteria
Description: partial 16S ribosomal RNA
Rfam family: Bacterial small subunit ribosomal RNA
Source: RNAcentral